This 253-nucleotide ribosomal RNA is filed under the name uncultured bacterium. Its description in RNAcentral is "partial 16S ribosomal RNA". It matches the Rfam family "Bacterial small subunit ribosomal RNA", at positions 524 to 776 of the family's 1533-position model. The record is from RNAcentral.
UACAGAGGGUGCGAGCGUUAAUCGGAAUUACUGGGCGUAAAGCGCACGUAGGCGGCUUGGUAUGUCGGGUGUGAAAUCCCCGGGCUCAACCUGGGAACUGCAUCCGAAACUGCCUUGCUCGAGUAUGGGAGAGGGAAGUGGAAUUUCCGGUGUAGCGGUGAAAUGCGUAGAUAUCGGAAGGAACAUCAGUGGCGAAGGCGACUUCCUGGACCAAUACUGACGCUCAGGUGCGAAAGCGUGGGGAGCAAACGGG